Molecule: non-coding RNA, 5410 nt
Organism: Peromyscus maniculatus bairdii (prairie deer mouse)
Lineage: Eukaryota; Metazoa; Chordata; Mammalia; Rodentia; Cricetidae
Source: RefSeq, a predicted model, not a curated record
AACCCAGUUCACCCCCUUCCUUUUGAAUUCUUUCUGGUGUGUCUGCUGCUCCGCCCGAGCUAAUCCCCAAAUCCGGUCUCCUAAGCCGCAGCUGCUUCCCUUUGCAGGGAUGAACGGCUCUGGGAGGGAAGAUAUCUGGUGAGCAUUCCCCUCCUGGCCCAGGGCAUGCCCCAGUUCACUUUCGCCUGUUUCUGUGGUCUUCACGGCUUCUGCAAGAUGAAGAGGAAGAAGGAAGACGUCCACAGAGAGCGGGAAACAGCGGUGUGAGCAGAACCAGGGCCUCCUUGUCAGCUCCCAGUGGCUCCGGGCCCGAGGCUGCUCACUGUUAUGGAGCUCAGUGCCUGUGCCUUCCGUCUUCAUCCAACGGGAGUCUGCCUACCGUGAGGGCAUCCGCCUCUUGAGCCUUCUUAUUGGCCACCCCUAUCAGCUCCCAGUCUUCUGUGCUCCUGGAGCGAGGCCUCAGCUACACAGAGGGAUUUCCAGGACCCACCACUUGCCUUCUUCACCAGACUGGGCAAGGAAGGAGGCUCCCAGGCUCGUCUCAGGGCUGCGUCUCCCAUGAGGCUAAUGUGGCCUUGGGAGAGGGAAGUAGCUGUUCUUACAAACGCCUUGAAGAGUUUGAUGUUUGAGACACUACCUCCAAGCACAAGAUGGAGUCUCUGCUGGGGCCCCAAGGUCUCCGUCCCCUCCCUGCAUCCUCUUGGGCCAGCUGGGCCAGGACGGAGGUUGGAGGCCCAAGUUAGACAUUUGAGGGGCCAGGCAGUGGGUGACUCUUCUCUGUGUCACAGGCCAGUCUUCCCUCAGUUCUGGUCCUGGAUCACCAGUUCCGUAUAGUCCUCACUUCUUUUGGGAGCACAUAGAUGUGGGGAGACCUCUCCCCAGGUACUAAGCCCCUCAGGGACUGUCCCCAGAUCUAGGCCAGACCACUGCCCCCAUUUUGUUCAUUCCUCCCCGGCUUCUCCUCUCCUUGGGAAGCUGGAGAAGGCAUUACGCUGGCAUGUGGCACCUUCAGAGGACUCUUGGAUCAGGGAACCCUAGGAUUUCCCUUGACUUUUCCCCUCAUCUUCCCAGUGUGCUGUCAAUCUCCUGCUUCAGGGUCUUGUGUCCCAUAUUCAUCUCUAGGACUUCAGAAGCAAAGUCUAAAGCAUUUCCUUUCUUCCCCUUCCUCUCUCCUUCCUUCUCCUUCCUCCCUGGCCUUGGCCUUGUGCCCGGAUCUCUCAGGUGCUAGAGGGAGAGCUGGGACCUAAGAACGAACUCCAGCAGUAGACAUCCUUUCUGUAGCUUCUGGUCUGCUAGCCGGCCGCUCUCCUGAUGGGAACAGUUCAGCAAGGAAAGGAGUCACAUUCCCACCACCAUCUGGGACAGAACAGAUAAACAAAGGCCUGGCUGAGGAGGAGGAGGGUCCGAGACGAAGGAAGGCCUGAACUCAGUGAGGGCCUCUGAGCAAAUAGAGAAGGGCUGUUUCUUUGGCUUUGUGCAUUAAUCACUGGCAUCAAGGUUGUCUUGGUAAAGCCUGAGCACAGCCAAGAGGCUUCUCUCUCCUCCAUCGGCUUCUCACGUCUUCCUUCCCACCUGAGCCACCCUACUGUCUGUUAUUUUCUGUCAUAUUCAAAGAAUCCUGAACAAAUCCUUCCCUCAGGGAAACAUCAAGCCUCUGCAGCAAAGGCCAGUGAGGUCACAAGGAACAAAGCAAAGAUCCAGUUUCCUCUCAGACAGUGGAGUCCUUGGGUGAGGCAGAGAUGGCGGAAAAGUUUUUGGGGGCAUACUUUGCUAUUGAAGCCACAGAUCCCUCCCCGAGUGUUGCUAGCUGCGACCUGCCUUCCAGGCUGCAAUCAGAGAAGCCUCUCUGGAACUGGAGGAUGAAAUCAUAUCCUCAGUACUAAGAGGCGUUGGGUGUUAUGUCCCAACCACAUAGGCUCACCCAGAGGACAGGUCAGAGAAUGGAGAACUUAGGUCUGGGAAGGGUAAGGAGGGGGGCAGCUCUCUGGUGCUCGCUUCACAGCCCUCGGCAGGGAGGCAGCCCCGGGGGUUGGCAGAGAGCUGGCUCAGAGAGCUGCUUACCUCACAAAAGUGCCCUUGGUGUGGGAGAGACAUUGGAUAUCUCGAGCCCUUACUAUAGGACCCUGGGUGGUUCAAGGUUCUUGGAGUGUACGAGCCCUGCUGCUUGCAGACAGCUGGCUGUCCUUGCUCCCUACAUGCCCGGUGAGGUGAGGUGUAGGCAUGCCGCAGAAGACGUGGCUUGAGGAGGCAGCGGCGGUAGCAGCGUCUAGCAAACGCACACUUAUUAUUUUGACCGUUUUCUCAAGGAGAUGGGGAGUCUGUCCCUCUCAGUGUCUGGGAAGCAGCCGGAAACCUGUUCCCAAUUCAGCUUCUGGCUGGGCUCAGUCAAUUUUGUGUUUUCUGCUUAAUGUUUCCUUCACUCUGCCUGAGGGAAGGCUAGCCCAUGGGUCUUUUUAGACUCUACUGAGGUGGCCCUCUGCUCUCAGGGUGAGGCACACCUUUCAUUCCUACGGCGUGGUGCUCAUCUUCCCUAGAGGAUGGGUUCUGCGUUCCCCCUCUUGGGCUAUGGAACCAGUCAGUGGAAAGUGUGUGUAUAUAAAUGGCUGUUGAGGAUUUUAGGACUUGAAUGCCCUCUAGGACCCUGGCCCAGGACCCCCAAGGGCUUCUUGUCUUAGGUUCAAAAUAGUUCAUUAAAAUGUUAUUUCCAUUCUCCGCUCCUAAAGGAGGUAGGCGUUUGAAUGUAGUAUAUGGAUCCAUAGAAAUAUAUAAAGAAGUUGUUCAUUUUUAGAUGAAAAUAAAAAGCAAUAAUUUAACCAAAAAAGAUAUAUGAGAUGCAAAGAGCCCUGAGCCAAAAGCCGGUUUCCUGGGUUCUAGCCUUGGUUGAGUACCAGUGAUCCUGUGACCUUGGAUGAAUGAGUCAGGCCUUAUUUCCGGGACUGGUUCUUCAAGGAUAGAAGGGGUUGCAUUGAUGUAUUCUGGAGUCCAGGCUUUGUGGGGUUUCAGGUGUCCUGUGCCCCAGGGGAUGUGUUCUGAGGGCAGCAUAGUGAAGAGGGCGGGCUGGAGUCCCAGGCAGAUCUGAGAAGUGCUGGAGUGUGAGGGGAAGCCCCAGCCCCAGCUUCUAGAAUGUUCCUCCAGUGAGGGCUGGGACACCAGGCCCUGUGUGGGCCGCCACUGUUGCCAUCUUUGUGCUCCUAUGGCACACAUACUGAAGAGAUUCAGAAGGGCCUAACAUCUGCUUGAGUUCGUUUUGUGUAGCUGCCCAUGGCCCAUCUCUAAGACGAUGGAGCCUUCCUCCCCACCCCCCCCACCCCCCACCCCCGUCCCUCAGGCUGGGUUUGUACAGCAGUGGGUAGGAGAGGAGGCACUGGUGCCCUUUGUGUGGGGAGUUACAGUUUUCCCGCCUCCCCUGGGGUUCCUCCACUGACUCCUGACCACAGAAACUGCUUCCUCUCUCCCACGGAUGAGUCCCACACCUGCAUUCCCUACCCAACAUGAAGAGCACCUUGUAUUGGAUGUAGCCAGACAUGGCUGAAACUUGGAGAUGGACCCUUGGUUCCCAGCUUCACCGGGAGAGGGAGUCCGGACCGAUGCAUUCAGGGGCCUCCUAGCUGCUGCUCUUCACUCAUCCUGGAGGUUACUGCUGUGCCUGGCAAGUGGUUGGGCUGACAGCCCCCCAGGAACCAAGAAGUAGAGUCUUCCCUAGGAAUGCCCCUGCUGUAUCUUCAACACACAGGAAGAGCAAUCGUAGCCAUCACCACCUGCUCGCUCCUAAAAGCUUCAAAAUACAUGUCGCUAAACGAUCCAGGACCAGGGUGCCUGGCUUGUCAGAACAAGCCCUCUGGUCCCCCAGGCCAGCUCUGGAGUAGUUAGUGCCCACCAUGCGGGAGUUGUGGCAUAGGCCCCUUUUCUAGAUUCCUGUGGGCUUAGAACCUCACGUGGAAAGCAGACUAUCCACAGGGAGCUGCUCAGAACAGCCUUACACCAAAGAAGACAUUUCAGUAGCAGGGGCCCUGUAACAUGGGCAGUCUGGGCCCUGGCAGACGCACCCAGGCUCUGAAGUUCACGGGUUUUCCCAGUGGGCUUCCAGUCAGCCCCCUUCCCUGCUGGGGCGGCCUCUCUCCUCCCUCCGCUCAUUCCCGCAUUCCAUCUGAGGGGCGGGAGGGAUGCCAGCGGGGGAGAUGGCAGGACCUAGACACAUCCUCAGGACUCUCCCAGCCUCCCUUGCCAUGGCAACGCUGCUAUUUUUAUCCUGUUGUUCAUGAUGCUCAAAGCUCUGACUUUCUCUGUUCCAGAGAGCCCAGCUGCCUUCUGCCCUCACCCCUCAGCGUAGCACCUUCUCGAAGAGGCCCGAGGAGGGAAAGGAAUGCUGAGGGGAGGGGGCACAUCUAAGUCAUCCCUUAACCAAGGGGACCUAUUUGGCUUGCUGGCUUCAAUAAUCAGUUUUGUGUUUCCUGGGAGGUCAGAACUAUGGUCAACCUGGGUGACUACCAUCCGGAUGUCUCCUCAGUGAGCCAAAACACACACUGCUGCUUCUGUUGGGGACACCCAGUCUCCUGAGGACUCUCCUGUUGGCACAAGCAAUAUAUAAAGAACCCUGCUUGGCUGGUUACGGCAGUCAGAUAACUUGAUGUUGCUGUGGAAUUUAAAUGACUUCCCUUCUGUCCCUCUACCAAAGAGCUAGGACAAAUGCAUCUAUGUCUUUGUCUAGUCAUUUUGCCCAAAGCAAGACAGCAUAUACUCCCCAGGCUAGGAAAGCAGACUCCCUCUAAUUUAGCCAUAUUCCCUUCAGGAAAUCGAGGUCCCUCUUCCAUACCCCUGCAAGGUGCUGGGGACGAAGCCCAAGGCCUCAGGACCACUGGACAAGUGUUCUCCUGAUGAGCUGCAUCUUUACCCUGUAGCGUAAUGAUGUUCUUGAAGGCAGCAUUUAGUGAGAGGCGUUCUUAGCUGUUUCUUCUGCCUCUCCUCCAACGCCUCUGAUUGUCUUCCUGUGUCCCGAAUUCCACCACAGUGGCAGGGAAUCCCUGAGAAUCAUUGGUGCUAAUGGUCUCCAUCUAUAUGCUCCUCUGUCAGUCGGUGAGAUGUGAACUCAGCAUGUGCGGUGGCUGGGUUAUGGGGUACAUUUUAUGUAUGUCCCCCAAUACCUUGAUCCUGGAAACAGGUCCAGAUCUUAAUUCAACGGACCGCAAUCUACAUCUUGUUAACCUCUGCUUCGGUUGAGUUGACUCCUGAACGGUUCUUCUUCCUAGGGUGACUGAGACCCAUUUACCAAGCCUCGUUGGUUUCGUUUUGGCCCUAGCUGCACGGUUUCCGACAUCUCUGCAUCUGGAGUAAGCACUUUUCUGGUUGCCACUGGAAAGCAUGCUGGCAGAUUCUGCGCCGAUAAUUGCUGUAAUAAACACACUUUAUUACG